This 62-nucleotide transfer RNA is filed under the name Daphnia laevis. RNAcentral's name for it is "tRNA-Ala". It matches the Rfam family "tRNA". Rfam says of the family: Transfer RNA (tRNA) molecules are approximately 80 nucleotides in length. Their secondary structure includes four short double-helical elements and three loops (D, anti-codon, and T loops). Lineage: Eukaryota; Metazoa; Arthropoda; Branchiopoda; Diplostraca; Daphniidae. The record is from RNAcentral.
GGGAUUGUAGUUAAUUAUAACACUUGAUUUGCAUUCAAGAAGUAUCUUAAAGAUCUUUCUCA